UAGCUCAUUUGGUAGAGCAUGGCGCUUGUAAACGCCAGGGUUGUGGGUUCGAUUCCCAC
Molecule: transfer RNA, 59 nt
Filed under: Salmo salar (Atlantic salmon)
Lineage: Eukaryota; Metazoa; Chordata; Actinopteri; Salmoniformes; Salmonidae
Rfam family: tRNA
About the family: Transfer RNA (tRNA) molecules are approximately 80 nucleotides in length. Their secondary structure includes four short double-helical elements and three loops (D, anti-codon, and T loops).
Source: Rfam by way of RNAcentral